GAACGACUCUCGGCAACGGAUAUCUCGGCUCUCGCAUCGAUGAAGAACGUAGCGAAAUGCGAUACUUGGUGUGAAUUGCAGAAUCCCGUGAACCAUCGAGUCUUUGAACGCAAGUUGCGCCCGAGGCCUUCGGCUAAGGGCACGCCUGUCUGGGCGUCACGCA
RNAcentral lists this ribosomal RNA (163 nucleotides) under Fagopyrum cymosum. RNAcentral's name for it is "5.8S ribosomal RNA". It matches the Rfam family "5.8S ribosomal RNA". Rfam says of the family: 5.8S ribosomal RNA (5.8S rRNA) is a component of the large subunit of the eukaryotic ribosome. It is transcribed by RNA polymerase I as part of the 45S precursor that also contains 18S and 28S rRNA. Lineage: Eukaryota; Viridiplantae; Streptophyta; Magnoliopsida; Caryophyllales; Polygonaceae. The record is from RNAcentral.